This is a long non-coding RNA of Spinacia oleracea (spinach), 328 nucleotides long. RefSeq lists it as uncharacterized. The record is from RefSeq and is a predicted model, not a curated record. The transcript is spliced from 3 exons. Lineage: Eukaryota; Viridiplantae; Streptophyta; Magnoliopsida; Caryophyllales; Amaranthaceae.
AUCAGAAAUUAAAGCCAUGGUUGCUGACAUGCUAGACUUGCAUUUCGCGGAUGAUUCUUUUGAUGUGGUUAUUGAGAAAGGAACAAUGGAUGUAUUGUUCGUGGACAGUGGUGAUCCGUGGAACCCAAAACCUGAAAUCGUAAGCAAGGUAACGACAAUGCUUCAAGGCAUCAUCGGGUCUUGAAGCCAGAUGGUAUCUACAUAUCAAUUUCUUUUGGGCAGCCACACUUCAGGCGUCCGUUAUUUGAAGCUCCUAAUUUUACAUGGUCUAUGAAAUGGAGUACCUUUGGUGAUGGAUUCCAUUAUUUCUUCUACACUCUAAAGAAGG